GAAAAACUUGGAAAAUUAAACCUGGAUGAGAACUUAGAUAACCUUUCAUUCUUUUACAGACGGAGAGACAGAACCAGAGGGCAACCCACCAGGAAAGCCACUGAGCUGUGUGCACCAAGCCCAUCACUCAAGGUUAUUUGGCAUCAUGAAGACCGAGUUUGAAGGUACUCUGCAUCAUGGCAUUAAGCUAGAACCAAAUUUUGAGGAGCUAGGACUCCCUAAUUGAUUUGGUGGCUUUCUCCUUGUUUCCUUAAAAAAUCCCCCCACCAGCCCCCUUCUUAGCAAAGGUGCUUUCUAUUCAACCUGUCCC
Molecule: long non-coding RNA, 310 nt
Filed under: Bos mutus (wild yak)
Lineage: Eukaryota; Metazoa; Chordata; Mammalia; Artiodactyla; Bovidae
Description: lncRNA (ENSBMUG00000004188.1)
Source: RNAcentral